Molecule: ribosomal RNA, 1035 nt
Filed under: Triticum aestivum (bread wheat)
Lineage: Eukaryota; Viridiplantae; Streptophyta; Magnoliopsida; Poales; Poaceae
Description: partial small subunit ribosomal RNA
Source: RNAcentral
AAGAAGCCGGGCAAGAUCGCUCUCCCCUCCCACGAGUCCACCAUGGGCAGGUUCCUGAUGCAGAUCGGGAUGUUCAAGGACGGCGACGGCAACCUGCUCGUCAACAAGGACGGCCUCCGCAUCACCCCGCAGACCAAGGAAGGCGAGGCUCCUCCUAUAGAGCCGUUAGAUAACCAUCAGUUGAGCAUACAUGAUCUGGAAGCAAUCAAAGUGAUUGGGAACGGUAGUGGAACCGUGCAAUUGGUGCGCCAAAAAUGGACUGGCCAGUUUCUUGCUCUCAAGGUUAUACAACUCAAUAUUCAGGAAAGCAUACGCAAGCAACUUGCCCAGGAGUUGAAAUUAAGUUUGUCAACACAGUGCCAAUAUGUUGUCACAUGCUAUCAGUGUUUCUAUGUCAAUGGUGUUAUUUCUAUUGCUUUGGAGUAUAUGGAUGGAGGCUCUCUGGCUGAUUUCCUGAUGACUGCUAGAACCGUUCCAGAGGCCUACCUUGCUGCAAUUUGUAAGCAGGUGUUGAAAGGACUGAUGAACUUGCAUCAUGAGAAGCGCGUUAUACACCGAGAUCUGAAACCAUCGAAUAUAUUAAUAAAUCAUAGGGGUGAAGUAAAGAUAUCAGAUUUUGUUGUUAGUGCCAUCAUUUCUAGUUCUUCUGCAAAGCGAGAUACAUUUACUGGCACAUUUAACUACAUGGCGCCAGAAAGAAUCAGCGGGCAGAAACAUGGUUAUAUGAGUGAUAUAUGGAGCUUGGGCCUAGUCAUGCUGGAAUGUGCCACUGGCAAUUUCCCAUAUCCUCCUCGUGAUAGCUUCUAUGAACUUCUUGAAGCUGUUGUCGACCAACCAUCACCUUCUGCACCAUCAGACCAGUUUUCACCAGAGUUCUGUUCAUUCAUUUCUGCGUGUAUGCAAAAAGAGGCUACAAAUAGGUCAUCUGCUCAAAUCCUAUCAGCUCAUCCAUUCCUGAGCAUGUAUGACGACCUGAAUAUUGAUCUUGCUGUCUACUUCAGGACCGCGGGAUCUCCACUUGUCACCUUCAAGUAA